Molecule: non-coding RNA, 154 nt
Organism: Podarcis lilfordi (Lilford's wall lizard)
Lineage: Eukaryota; Metazoa; Chordata; Lepidosauria; Squamata; Lacertidae
Source: the annotation of a GenBank genome assembly
GCAGGGGGGGGGGGGAGGGAGGGGUUAGAGGAAGGAAGGAAGAAGAGGCGAGAGGAAGAUCUUAACCUUCCUUAUUAUUAACCUUAACUUCUUCUUCUUCUUCUUCUUCUUCUUCUUCUUCUUCUUCUUCUUCUUCUUCUUCUUCUUCUUCUUC